AAUUGGCCUCAUACCAAUUGGAGUGAUAGAAUUACAAUUUUGGUCCCUGAAGUGGACCUAGGUUUGGUUGUCUAGAAUUGACUCUCACCAAUCCGAAUUUGAUUUUAAUUCUCAUCACUCCAACACACUCCAUUUAGCCCCAAUUGACUAUUUCAAGUCUCAAUUAGGUCCCAUUGCAUCAAUUACCAAUUUUCUCCAAAUUUUUCCCUAAUUUCAAUGCUUCAAGAACCCUAAUUUCACUACUUGAUUUAAUUGGUGCAAUUAAAGUGUAUAUUCAUCUUCUACACACUAAAUCAAGCUUACUUUUCCCCAUUUUAAUUUCAUCAAAAUCGUGCAAGCCCUAACUCAUGUCAUGUUGGCCGAAAAUUUCCCCAAGUCUCUUAUGUAUGAUUUUGUUUAAUUUUUUACACAAUUUCUAGUUUAACUCAUGCACAUGAGCAUAAAUCUAAAGAGAGAUUUAAGAGAAUAAUCACUAACCUCUUGGUAGCUUUUCCCUCCUCCAAUUUCUACUUCUUUUUUGAAUUUUUCUUCCUUUAGUCCUCUUGCCAAAGCUUGAUCAUAAGUUUUAAUUAAGAAAUUUAGGGGAUUUAUGGGUUAAAUUUGGGGGUUACUCAAGUUCAAAAUUGAGCUUUAAUGGAGGU
This 641-nucleotide unclassified non-coding RNA is filed under the name Hevea brasiliensis (rubber tree). Lineage: Eukaryota; Viridiplantae; Streptophyta; Magnoliopsida; Malpighiales; Euphorbiaceae. The record is from RNAcentral.